This 497-nucleotide ribosomal RNA is filed under the name uncultured bacterium. RNAcentral's name for it is "partial 16S ribosomal RNA". It matches the Rfam family "Bacterial small subunit ribosomal RNA", at positions 28 to 507 of the family's 1533-position model. The record is from RNAcentral.
GAUGAACGCUGGCGGCGUGCCUAAUACAUGCAAGUCGAGCGAACAGACGAGGAGCUUGCUCCUCUGACGUUAGCGGCGGACGGGUGAGUAACACGUGGAUAACCUACCUAUAAGACUGGGAUAACUUCGGGAAGCCGGAGCUAAUACCGGAUAAUAUAUUGAACCGCAUGGUUCAAUAGUGAAAGAAGGCUUUGCUGUCACUUAUAGAUGGAUUCGCGCCGCAUUAGCUAGUUGGUAAGGUAACGGCUUACCAAGGCGACGAUGCGUAGCCGACCUGAGAGGGUGAUCGGCCACACUGGAACUGAGACACGGUCCAGACUCCUACGGGAGGCAGCAGUAGGGAAUCUUCCGCAAUGGGCGAAAGCCUGACGGAGCAACGCCGCGUGAGUGAUGAAGGUCUUCGGAUCGUAAAACUCUGUUAUUAGGGAAGAACAAAUGUGUAAGUAACUAUGCACGUCUUGACGGUACCUAAUCAGAAAGCCACGGCUAACUACGUG